GUGCCAGAAGCCUCGGUAAUACGGAGGGUGCGAGCGUUAAUCGGAAUUACUGGGCGUAAAGGGCGCGUAGGCGGUCGCGCAAGUCGGGUGUGAAAGCCCCGGGCUCAACCUGGGAAUUGCAUUCGAUACUGCGUAACUAGAGUCUGGUAGAGGGAAGCGGAAUUCCGCAUGUAGCGGUGAAAUGCGUAGAUAUGCGGAGGAACACCAGUGGCGAAGGCGGCUUCCUGGACCAAGACUGACGCUGAGGCGCGAAAGCGUGGGGAGCAAACAGGAUUAGAUACCCUGGUAGUCCACGCCCUAAACGAUGAGGACUAGACGUUGGGGGGAUAAAACCCUUUAGUGUCGCAGCUAACGCGUGAAGUCCUCCGCCUGGGGAGUACGGCCGCAAGGUUGAAACUUAAAGGAUUAGUACGGA
This 415-nucleotide ribosomal RNA is filed under the name uncultured bacterium. RNAcentral's name for it is "bacterial SSU rRNA". It matches the Rfam family "Bacterial small subunit ribosomal RNA", at positions 505 to 917 of the family's 1533-position model. The record is from RNAcentral.